CAGUGCCUACGGGGCGCAGCAGUAGGGAAUCUUCCACAAUGGACGAAAGUCUGAUGGAGCAACGCCGCGUGAGUGAAGAAGGGUUUCGGCUCGUAAAGCUCUGUUGGGAGUGAAGAAAGAUAGAGGUAGUAACUGGCCUUUAUUUGACGGGAAUUACUUAGAAAGUCACGGCUAACUACGUGCCAGCAGCCGCGGGAAUACGUAGGUGGCAAGCGUUGUCCGGAUUUAUUGGG
This 233-nucleotide ribosomal RNA is filed under the name uncultured bacterium. RNAcentral's name for it is "partial 16S ribosomal RNA". It matches the Rfam family "Bacterial small subunit ribosomal RNA", at positions 332 to 558 of the family's 1533-position model. The record is from RNAcentral.